UACAGAGGUCUCAAGCGUUGUUCGGAUUUAUUGGGCGUAAAGGGCGCGUAGGCGGCGGGGUAAGUCGGGUGUGAAAUCUCAGGGCUCAACCCUGAAACUGCACUUGAUACUGCUCUGCUUGAGGGCUGGAGAGGAGACUGGAAUUCACGGUGUAGCAGUGAAAUGCGUAGAUAUCGUGAGGAAGACCAGUGGCGAAGGCGGGUCUCUGGACAGUUCCUGACGCUGAGGCGCGAAGGCCAGGGGAGCAAACGGG
This 253-nucleotide ribosomal RNA is filed under the name uncultured bacterium. RNAcentral's name for it is "partial 16S ribosomal RNA". It matches the Rfam family "Bacterial small subunit ribosomal RNA", at positions 524 to 776 of the family's 1533-position model. The record is from RNAcentral.